Molecule: ribosomal RNA, 2311 nt
Filed under: Parastagonospora nodorum
Lineage: Eukaryota; Fungi; Ascomycota; Dothideomycetes; Pleosporales; Phaeosphaeriaceae
Description: eukaryotic LSU rRNA
Rfam family: Eukaryotic large subunit ribosomal RNA
Source: RNAcentral
UGAACUAUCUAGUAGCUGGUUCCUGCUAAAGUUUCCCUUAGGAUAGCAGUAACGUAUUUAGUUUUAUAAGGUAAAGCGAAUAAUUAGAGGCCUGGGGGUUGAAAUAACCUUUACCUAUUCUUAAACUUUAAAUAUAUAAGAAGUCCUUGUUACUUAAUUAAACGUGGACACUUAAAUAUACUGUUACUAGUGGGCUAUUUUUAGUAAGCAGAACUGGCGAUGCAGGAUAAACUGAACGCAGGGUUAAGGUGCUAGAAUAUACGCUCAUCAGAUACUAUAAAAGAUGUUAGUUUAUCUAGACAGCAGGACAGUGGCUAUAGAAGUUAGAAUCUGCUAAGAAGUGUGUAACAACUUACCUGCUGAAUAAACUAGCUCUAAAAAUAGAUAGCGCUCAAGCGUAUUACCUAUACCCCGCUGCUAGGGCAGAAUUUAUGCCCUAGCGAGUAGGCAGGUGUGGAGGCUCGUGACGAAGCCUUGGGAGUGACCUUAGGUCGAACAGCCUCUAGUGCAGAUCUUGGUAGUAGUAGCAAAUACUUAAAUAAGAACUUUAAGGACUGAAGUGGGGAAAGGUUCUGUGUAAACAGCAGUUAGACACGGGUUAGUUAAUCCUAAGAGAUAGGGUAGUUCUGUUUUAAUGUUAGCGCUUGCGCUACGCCCUCAAAAAGAAAGCUAGUUAAUAUUCUGGCACCUAGAUAUAGAUUCUCCGCAGCAACGUAACUGAGAGCGGAGACCUUAGCAGGAGCCCUAAGAAGAGUUCUCUUUUCUUCUUAACAGUCUGUUACUCUAAAAUUAGUUUGUCUAGAGCUAGGGUUCAAUAGCCAGAAGAGCGCUGCACUUUUAUGGCGUUUAGUGCGCUCCUGAUGAGCCUUAAAAAUCUGCUUAAAGAAAUAGUUUUUACGCCAGGUCGUACUUAUAACUGCAGCAGGUCUCUAAGGUAAAAAGCCUCUAGUUGAUAGAAUAAUGUAGAUAAGGGAAGUUAGCAAAAUAGAUCUGUAACUUCGGGAAAAGGAUUGGCUCUAAGGGUUAGGUACGUUAGGCCUUGGAGAGAAGCCUCUGGCGUAGAAGGGCACUAGCUGCAAGGUAGGCGCCUUUUAGCGCUGAGGUGCAGGUAUUCUUAGCAGGCUUUAGCUGUUCAGCGUACGUUUAACAACUAACUUAGAACUAGUAUAGAUAAGGGGAAUCUGACUGUCUAAUUAAAAUAUAGCAUUGCAAUAGCUAGAAAGUAGUGUUGACGCAAUAUGAUUUCUGCCUAGUGCUCUAAAUAUCAAAGCGAAGAGAUUUGACCAAGCGUAGGUAAACAGCGGGAGUAACUAUGACUCUCUUAAGGUAGCCAAAUGCCUUAUCAUCUAAUUAGUGACGCGCAUGAAUAGAUUAACGAGAUUCCUACUGUCUCUAUCUACUAUCUAGCGAAACCACAGCUAAGGGAAUAGGCUUGGCUAAAUCAGCAGAGAAAGAAGACUCUGUUGAGCUUAACUCUAGUUUAACAUUAUGAAAAGACAUAGGGGGUAUAGAAUAGGUAGGAGCUUCGGCGCCGGUAAAAUACUACUACUCUUAUCGUUUUUUUACUUAUUUGAUGAAGCAGAGCUAGGCCUUACUGCCUAACUUCUAGCGUUAAGGUUCUUCGUGAGCUGAUCUAGGUUAAAGACAUUGUUAGGUGGGGAGUUUAGCUAGAGCGGCAUAUCUGUUAAACUAUAACGCAGGUGUCCUAAGGGGGACUUAUGGAGAACAGAAAUCUCUAGUAGAGCAAAAGGGCAAAAGUUCUCUUAAUUUUGAUUUUUAGUGUGAAUACAAACUAUAAAAGUGUGGCCUAUCAAUCCUUUAGUCUCUUAAAAUUUAAGGCUAGAGGUGCCAGAAAAGUUACUACAGGGAUAACUAGCUUAUGGCAGCUAAGCGUUCAUAGCGACGUUGCUUUUUAAUCCUUUAAUGUCAGCUCUUCCUAUUAUACUGAAGCAGAAUUCAGUAAGCGUUAGAUUAUUUACCUACUAAUAGGGAACGUGAGCUGGGUUUAGACUGUCGUGAGACAGGUUAGUUUUACCCUACUAAUAACCUUGCCCUAAUAGUAAUACCGCUUAGUAUGAGAGGAACUGCAGUUUCAGAUAAUUAGUUUUUGCGGCUGUCUGACCAGGCAUUGCUGCGAAGCUACUAUCUGCUAGAUUAUAGCUGAACGCCUCUAAGUCAGAAUCUAUGCUAGAACAGGGUGAUUUCCGCCUGCACUAGUCAGAUACGAAUAGGCCUUUGGCUCAGAACCUUACCAGAUCAGCGUUGGCAGUCUCAUUAAAAUUAAGGCUGCUAGCUAGUGUAUUGCAAUUGU